This 701-nucleotide ribosomal RNA is filed under the name uncultured Aequorivita sp. RNAcentral's name for it is "bacterial SSU rRNA". It matches the Rfam family "Bacterial small subunit ribosomal RNA", at positions 36 to 736 of the family's 1533-position model. Lineage: Bacteria; Pseudomonadati; Bacteroidota; Flavobacteriia; Flavobacteriales; Flavobacteriaceae. The record is from RNAcentral.
CUAGCGGCAGGCUUACACAUGCAAUGUCGAGGGGUAUAGAGUGCUUGCACUUUAGAGACCGGCGCACGGGUGCGUAACGCGUAUGCAAUCUACCUUGUACAGGGGAAUAGCCCAGGGAAACUUGGAUUAAUGCCCCAUAGUAUUAUUGAAUAGCAUUAUUUAAUAAUUAAAGAUUUAUCGGUACAAGAUGAGCAUGCGUCCCAUUAGCUAGUUGGUAUGGUAACGGCAUACCAAGGCUACGAUGGGUAGGGGCCCUGAGAGGGGGAUCCCCCACACUGGUACUGAGACACGGACCAGACUCCUACGGGAGGCAGCAGUGAGGAAUAUUGGACAAUGGGCGGAAGCCUGAUCCAGCCAUGCCGCGUGCAGGAAGACGGCCCUAUGGGUUGUAAACUGCUUUUGUACGGGAAGAAACACCCCCACGUGUGGGGGCUUGACGGUACCGUAAGAAUAAGCAUCGGCUAACUCCGUGCCAGCAGCCGCGGUAAUACGGAGGAUGCAAGCGUUAUCCGGAAUCAUUGGGUUUAAAGGGUCCGUAGGCGGACAAUUAAGUCAGGGGUGAAAGUCUGCAGCUCAACUGUAGAACUGCCUUUGAUACUGGUUGUCUUGAAUCGUUGUGAAGUGGUUAGAAUAAGUAGUGUAGCGGUGAAAUGCAUAGAUAUUACUUAGAAUACCGAUUGCGAAGGCAGAUCACUAACAAC